AGUGAACGCUGGCGGUAGGCCUAACACAUGCAAGUCGAACGGCAGCACAGUAAGAGCUUGCUCUUACGGGUGGCGAGUGGCGGACGGGUGAGGAAUACAUCGGAAUCUACUUUUUCGUAGGGGAUAACGUAGGGAAACUUACGCUAAUACCGCAUACGACCUACGGGUGAAAGCAUGGGAUCUUCGGACCUUGCGCGAUUGAAUGAGCCGAUGUCGGAUUAGCUAGUUGGCGGGGUAAAGGCCCACCAAGGCGACGAUCCUUAGCUGGUCUGAGAGGAUGAUCAGCCACACUGGAACUGAGACACGGUCCAGACUCCUACGGGAGGCAGCAGUGGGGAAUAUUGGACAAUGGGCGCAAGCCUGAUCCAGCCAUACCGCGUGGGUGAAGAAGGCCUUCGGGUUGUAAAGCCCUUUUGUUGGGAAAGAAAAGCAGCAGGUUAAUACCCCGCUGUUCUGACGGUACCAAAAGAAUAAGCACCGGCUAACUUCGUG
RNAcentral lists this ribosomal RNA (492 nucleotides) under uncultured bacterium. Its description in RNAcentral is "partial 16S ribosomal RNA". It matches the Rfam family "Bacterial small subunit ribosomal RNA", at positions 29 to 507 of the family's 1533-position model. The record is from RNAcentral.